UAACCCGCGCGAAACAACUCCAUUGCCGAUCAUCGGAGAAGAGAAUUCCCAUGAAAAAACUGUUCGAUAUACGAGUGUCAAGCUUCUCCGGCCAAGUGAUACAUUAGUUCUUGGCCAGGCUUAUCGGCUUGUCACCACACAAGGUUGGUGCUCUUCCAACUUCUUCCUCAAUUCUUUCAUUAUUUUAAGAAAACUCACUAACAGUGACACAUAUUUUUUCUUACUUUUUAGGAAAACAACUAAUAAUCGGGUUUUUUUAAUGCUAGUUAAUAGGCUUAUUUUUAAUUAAACCUUGCUAUUUUGAGAUUGAAAGUUUUGAGUUAUAAAUUGAUUUUGUUGCAGAGGUUAUGAAAGUGCUGAGAUCAAAGAAAAAUGCAAAGAUGAAGAAAAACUUGUCAGAAUCAAUUGCCAAUUUGAAGAUGAAUUUGCUAAAGCUGUUGAUGGUGUUGGAAUGGUGACGGUGGUGGUGCGGCACUUGGUUGUUGAUGGUGUUGGAGGGGUGAUGGUGGUGCUAUGGUUGCAGAAGCGCCUCGUGCAGUAAAUGGUGGUGGCGGUUAGGCGAUGGUUUACAUGUUUUGCAAGGGGUUUUUGUUGGUGGCGUCGUGGGUUUUGUUUGGUUGGUUCAAAGAGUGUUGUUUUGUUAUGUGCUUUGUUGGGGGCAGUGGUGAUGCUGGUGGUGGCGGCGGCGUGGUCGGUGGUUGUGCGGUGGUGUUGUGUGGUGUGGUGCAGCUAUUAGUUAUGUUUUGGUGGUCGUUUUUGUUGUUGGCGAUGGUCGUGGUGGUGUUGUGGUGGGGUCGGGGUAUAGUAGGAGGAAAUGGUGAUCGUGACAAACUAUUUGGUUGCUCUGUGACCAAACAUUGGUGGUGAAUUGGGAUUGAGAUUGGAGUGUUUGGUAUAUGUGACCAACGAUUUGGUUUGUGACCUUAAAAUUUAAUAAUAUGUGACUUCAACGAUUUGGUCCGCGACUUUUGGACUAAAACAUACAUGUGACCUAUAAAACUUUUUAUCUGUGACGUCGAAAUUAUCUGUGACCUAUCAAAAUUUUGAUUUGUGACGUCGAAAAAAUUUGUGACCAAUUAAUUUGAUUGUACGUGACCAGUA
Molecule: long non-coding RNA, 1101 nt
Filed under: Olea europaea subsp. europaea
Lineage: Eukaryota; Viridiplantae; Streptophyta; Magnoliopsida; Lamiales; Oleaceae
Source: RNAcentral